GUGAGUAGUGAAUCUACUUCCUCCAGAUGUUACACAGGUGAUAUUAACACUGCAGUAGAUUAUUUACUCACCUGUAGAUUAUUGUUUCAUUUAAUAAACACACAAACUAUCACUUAUUGAAUAUAAACUCCUCCCUGAUACACUACACUCGUCUAUACUGAAAUACUGUGUGUGUGUGUGUGUGUGUGUGUGUGUGUGUGUGAGUAUUAUGUCCCACAACCCUAUAUUCCCAUAGAAACAGCACGCCAACCCUGAGUUCCCAGGCCAAAAUUGCCCCCAAAAUCAACAUUUUAAUUUGAACAUUUUUAGGCCUUGAAACAACUUAUAAUAAAGUAUUUGUGUAAUAUUACUUUUAAAAUGAAGCAGUUCAGUGUUUAUACUCCACUUGGAGCACAAUUCUUAACUAGAGAAAUGAUGAAAAAUGCUCGCUGAAAUCCUUCUACUCCUUUAGAAGUACCAUACAAGCAUCAGCGUGGUCAGUGCCUUUGAAUAAAUUCAAGUAAAUAAUAAUAAACAAAUAAAUAAAUGCAUUUUAGCGCAAAAGUCAAGUUUCUGGUGAUAAUCAGAGCAGCAGGUGGUGUUUUCACGAAUGCACAGAGAUGGUCAGGUUCUGACUCCAGACCCCUGCAGUGUCAGUCGCACUGGUUGAUGCUGAAGAUGAAGACGGAUCAGGGUCUGAAUCAGGAGAGUUUGCGUCUCUGUCAGUUUCGGUUUCAACAUCGCCUGAACUUUCACUGCUGUCACUAUCUAGAAUCCUCGCUCUCGCCUGUGUGACUGUGUAUGUUUUCUUUUUCACUGUUUUAGAUGUACCCGUGUUCACUGUAGGUGUAACUUUAGCUGGAACACGAUUAGCUUUUCGCUUUGGCAUUUUUAGUUCACUUCUACUAGUACACCAAUGUUCACGCUUGGAUCUUCAUCGUAAUGACGGCGUAAUAACGUAAUCACGCCGUGACGUCGUGACGUCAUCAACCUUCCGGGUCAAAAAAUAAUACUUAAAUAAGUAAGGAAUCAUAGCAGAGUGAUGCCGGUACUCCGGCCUUACGGGGAUAACGUUUACACUGUAAAUCCUCUAUAUCGGCCUUACGGGGCUUUGGCAUAGACGACCAAGCCGGUAUAUCGUCCUUACGGGAAUAGAUCAAAGACGGAUGAGACGGUUUUUUCGGCCUUACGGGGUUAGAGGGUUAACGGGAGAUAAAAUUCACCAUCAUGUCAGACAGAAGUGAUGAUACUCAGGUUUCUGUUAGAUCCUAAAACUACACUGUUUGGUGCUAUGAGGUGGUUAUGAGGUUAUGGGGUUAUGAGGAGGAGAGAGUGAGCGACUGACAGCACUUCCGGUGUGUGUUAGUGGGGUUUCUUUACACUGUACUGAUUAUACCAUUACUUUUGUCGGAUUUUGCUUAAGUCUCAAGCUGGUGGGCGGAGUUUUUUCAGGCAGUUUAUGGGCGGGGUUUGAGGGGUGUGACGUCACUGCAUAACGCAAACGAGCUAGUUAACCAGGAUGGACGUCCGUUCAGCAACAUCCUAAAAGUCUGAAAGCCUCCAUAAGUGAGAAGUAAACCCUAGCAGUGCUUUUACUGCCCUUCUGUCCUGUGAACAUCCUGAAGUUUCAGCUGCUUUAUCUUUCUCUCCUGGUGCUGUCACUGUGUUCCUCUCCUUCUCCAGAACACAGCAUUAACACCAACACCAACAGGAACCUGCUGGAGAAACACCUUCCUCAGUUCAGCUCCUAACCACUAGCUUAUAGCCCACAUCAGUAUUUAUGGAGUGAAGCUGGCUCCGUGUGAUGGAACUGUGCUAGUAGGAAUGCAGUAA
Ictalurus punctatus (channel catfish) is the source of this 1812-nucleotide long non-coding RNA. The record is from Ensembl. NCBI's taxonomy places the organism in Eukaryota, Metazoa, Chordata, Actinopteri, Siluriformes, Ictaluridae.